RNAcentral lists this long non-coding RNA (1884 nucleotides) under Mytilus galloprovincialis (Mediterranean mussel). Lineage: Eukaryota; Metazoa; Mollusca; Bivalvia; Mytilida; Mytilidae. The record is from RNAcentral.
CUAGAUAUGGAUACCACUAAUGAAUACAAAGAUGUAAGUAAGUAUUGGCCUGGGAUUUCUCUAAAUUCACAGAGAUGAUAAAAGUAUUCUCAAUAUAUAUUAGACUUCCAAAGGUGUAAAUCAACGGAUAUACAAAUGUGUAAAAAGACAUUAUGAAUAACAAAGAAACACAAUUUAAAAUCAAUAACAAAGAAACACAAUUUAAAAAUGACUAUUUCUUUACUUUUGGUUUUUAAAAAGUUUUACAUUUAUGAGAGUGUGAAAUAUACAAAAUGACGAUGCAGGCAGUAAAAAGCCUCUAUUAUACACAAUACAUGCUGAGAUCAUCUUGACACAUUCAUCCAUUACACUCAAACAACAUACAAUUAUUGACAUUUGUCACAAUGUGAAUUAAAUAAUUUGGUGAAAAUUUAUAAGUACAAUGGUAUGAAAAUAUGAAUUCCUAAUUUUUACAUAUUUCAUGAAUUUAAGUAAAUAAAUAAUAUAAAAUGUUCUAAUUUUAAAUAAUCUAUCGUAGAAAAUAAAGACAUUUAUUAACUGAAGGAGAUACCAAUGUACUUGAUUAGAUGUACUUUAUUUAAUAGCAAUGCAUUAAUGUUUCAAUGUAUUUACACAACUACUGGUAUGCCUCGUGUACAAACAUUGUGUUACUAACUGUUAUCAAAUGAUCACGGAUUAUGUUGUAUGAGGAUUGUAAACAUGAAUAAGAUUUUACAUAUAACAAACAUUCAACCUAUGCAUUAGGAUUUGGAUAUUUUAUAUGCCAUAAAGUUAUGAAAACAUACAUUCAUAUGAAAAAAAUAACUUUUAUGUUAUGGAUUGUACUGAAACUUUUCAAUUGAACUUUAACCUUUGUCUAUCAAGUGCUAUAUUUAUUCUUACUAUUUACAUUCAUGACAGUUGUUAUUAAAUUUCUGCAAAGAAUUUUUAAAUGGUAUCCCCUCUCACUGAGAAAUACUUAUAUUAAGUUAUCAAACCUAUAUAAUUUAUAUUUUAUUAUACUGGUAAUUAAAAAUUCUACCUACUAACAUCUGCUUAAUAUAAAAUACAACAAACCAUCAAAUACUAUAACAACAAAAGUACUAUACAUAACAAAACUAUCAUUUUCAUAUUGCCUCCUCUUACAGGUAGGAUCUUUAAGUUUGGAGGUAAAAAAACAAACCAACAAAAUAUAAUUCAGAAUGAAACAAGAACUUAAGGUGAUGUUGGAACUUUAUAAAUACUCUUAACCAUCUUUUGGUACAAAUAAAAAAACAUUAAAAACUGAAUUGCAGUUUACUAAUUAUGUGACUGGCAAGUUUUAAAAUUUUAACUAUACCACAAAACAAAAACAAAAACACAUAUAUUGCUGUAAAAGGUGUGUGCUUAUAAAGGAGUAUGGAUAAUAUUGCACAUACAAAUGCCUAAACUCUCAUCAAAAUCAUUGGAACAGUUAUAUUUCUGGGACUUGUGAAUAAUAUUGAUUCAACAGACAUAUGCUUUUAUAUUUGAGAUUGACCACCUAUUAAAUAGGUUGUGGUCAGUUUCUUUUCUCAAUAAUAUAUCUGAAAUACUCGUAUAAAAUAUAAAAAGAUCUAACUUCCAGUAGCAAAGAUUUCAUGCACAUUAAGUAUGAAAAUAUAAAAUCAUCUUUUGACAAUGUUGAAUGGUAUUUGAUUAUCUAGACCUAAUAAUUGUCAUACCCUAUACUAUUUUAAUGAGAACUUGACAAUGUUUAAAAUAGCUAUCUAAUAGGAUUAUGAUGAAGACAUGUAUUUAAAACAUAUAAAAGGAAUCAAAACUAUGUUUCUAUUUAAAAUUGUACAUUAUAAAUACAAAAUGAUAUAGAGUACAACAGUAGGAAUGGAUAAGACUAAUUUAUAUAUAUAUAUAUAUAUAUAUAUA